GCGGGUACUCGAGUGGCGAACGGGUGAGUAACACGUGGGUGAUCUGCCUUGCACUUCGGGAUAAGCUUGGGAAACUGGGUCUAAUACCGGAUAGGACAGCUGUUUAGUGUCAGUUGUGGAAAGUUUUUUCGGUGCAAGAUGAGCUCGCGGCCUAUCAGCUUGUUGGUGGGGUAAUGGCCUACCAAGGCGUCGACGGGUAGCCGGCCUGAGAGGGUGUACGGCCACAUUGGGACUGAGAUACGGCCCAGACUCCUACGGGAGGCAGCAGUGGGGAAUAUUGCACAAUGGGCGGAAGCCUGAUGCAGCGACGCCGCGUGGGGGAUGAAGGCCUUCGGGUUGUAAACUCCUUUCGACAGGGACGAAGCGUAAGUGACGGUACCUGUAUAAGAAGCACCGGCUAACUACGUGCCAGCAGCCGCGGUAAUACGUAGGGUGCGAGCGUUGUCCGGAAUUACUGGGCGUAAAGAGCUCGUAGGUGGUUUGUCGCGUCGUCUGUGAAAUUCCGGGGCUUAACUCCGGGCGUGCAGGCGAUACGGGCUGACUUGAGUGCUGUAGGGGAGACUGGAAUUCCUGGUGUAGCGGUGAAAUGCGCAGAUAUCAGGAGGAACACCGAUGGCGAAGGCAGGUCUCUGGGCAGUAACUGACGCUGAGGAGCGAAAGCAUGGGUAGCGAACAGGAUUAGAUACCCUGGUAGUCCAUGCCGUAAACGGUGGGCGCUAGGUGUAGGGGGCUUCCACGUCUUCUGUGCCGUAGCUAACGCAUUAAGCGCCCCGCCUGGGGAGUACGCCGCAAGGCUA
This 797-nucleotide ribosomal RNA is filed under the name uncultured Actinomycetes bacterium. RNAcentral's name for it is "bacterial SSU rRNA". It matches the Rfam family "Bacterial small subunit ribosomal RNA", at positions 83 to 896 of the family's 1533-position model. Lineage: Bacteria; Bacillati; Actinomycetota; Actinomycetes. The record is from RNAcentral.